This 1281-nucleotide ribosomal RNA is filed under the name Enterococcus lactis. RNAcentral describes it as "bacterial SSU rRNA". It matches the Rfam family "Bacterial small subunit ribosomal RNA", at positions 101 to 1369 of the family's 1533-position model. The record is from RNAcentral. Lineage: Bacteria; Bacillati; Bacillota; Bacilli; Lactobacillales; Enterococcaceae.
AACGGGUGAGUAACACGUGGGUAACCUGCCCAUCAGAAGGGGAUAACACUUGGAAACAGGUGCUAAUACCGUAUAACAAUCGAAACCGCAUGGUUUUGAUUUGAAAGGCGCUUUCGGGUGUCGCUGAUGGAUGGACCCGCGGUGCAUUAGCUAGUUGGUGAGGUAACGGCUCACCAAGGCCACGAUGCAUAGCCGACCUGAGAGGGUGAUCGGCCACAUUGGGACUGAGACACGGCCCAAACUCCUACGGGAGGCAGCAGUAGGGAAUCUUCGGCAAUGGACGAAAGUCUGACCGAGCAACGCCGCGUGAGUGAAGAAGGUUUUCGGAUCGUAAAACUCUGUUGUUAGAGAAGAACAAGGAUGAGAGUAACUGUUCAUCCCUUGACGGUAUCUAACCAGAAAGCCACGGCUAACUACGUGCCAGCAGCCGCGGUAAUACGUAGGUGGCAAGCGUUGUCCGGAUUUAUUGGGCGUAAAGCGAGCGCAGGCGGUUUCUUAAGUCUGAUGUGAAAGCCCCCGGCUCAACCGGGGAGGGUCAUUGGAAACUGGGAGACUUGAGUGCAGAAGAGGAGAGUGGAAUUCCAUGUGUAGCGGUGAAAUGCGUAGAUAUAUGGAGGAACACCAGUGGCGAAGGCGGCUCUCUGGUCUGUAACUGACGCUGAGGCUCGAAAGCGUGGGGAGCAAACAGGAUUAGAUACCCUGGUAGUCCACGCCGUAAACGAUGAGUGCUAAGUGUUGGAGGGUUUCCGCCCUUCAGUGCUGCAGCUAACGCAUUAAGCACUCCGCCUGGGGAGUACGACCGCAAGGUUGAAACUCAAAGGAAUUGACGGGGGCCCGCACAAGCGGUGGAGCAUGUGGUUUAAUUCGAAGCAACGCGAAGAACCUUACCAGGUCUUGACAUCCUUUGACCACUCUAGAGAUAGAGCUUCCCCUUCGGGGGCAAAGUGACAGGUGGUGCAUGGUUGUCGUCAGCUCGUGUCGUGAGAUGUUGGGUUAAGUCCCGCAACGAGCGCAACCCUUAUUGUUAGUUGCCAUCAUUCAGUUGGGCACUCUAGCAAGACUGCCGGUGACAAACCGGAGGAAGGUGGGGAUGACGUCAAAUCAUCAUGCCCCUUAUGACCUGGGCUACACACGUGCUACAAUGGGAAGUACAACGAGUUGCGAAGUCGCGAGGCUAAGCUAAUCUCUUAAAGCUUCUCUCAGUUCGGAUUGCAGGCUGCAACUCGCCUGCAUGAAGCCGGAAUCGCUAGUAAUCGCGGAUCAGCACGCCGCGGUGAAUAC